CCCUUAGAUGUUCGGGGCCGCACGCGCGCUACACUGAAGGAAUCAGCACGUCUUUCUCCUUGUCCGAAAGGACUGGGUAACCCGCUGAACCUCCUUCGUGCUAGGGAUUGGGGCUUGUAAUUCUUCCCCAUGAACGAGGAAUUCCCAGUAAGCGCGAGUCAUAAGCUCGCGUUGAUUACGUCCCUGCCCUUUGUACACACCGCCCGCCGCUACUACCGAUUGGAUGGUUUAGUGAGAUCCUCGGAUUGGUCCCGGAGCGGCCUCUGGUCGUGCCGGAGUGCCGAAAAGAAUGUCGAACUUGAUCAUCUAGAGGAAGUAAAAGUCGUAACA
This 330-nucleotide ribosomal RNA is filed under the name uncultured eukaryote. RNAcentral describes it as "partial 18S ribosomal RNA". It matches the Rfam family "Eukaryotic small subunit ribosomal RNA", at positions 1470 to 1796 of the family's 1831-position model. The record is from RNAcentral.